UGAUGUAGUUUUGUUGUAGAGUGACAUAAGGAUUCACUUUAAUUAAAUGUGCUGUCCCCUGUCUUUUUAAUCCCAAAGGACAAACCAGUACCAGUAGUGGAGGCCGUCGGAGGAAAUGCCGCACUGGGCCGCCGGCACCCAGCUCCAUGACCAUACUCUCCUCCUCCAUCACCACGCGUUGUCUCCCCUGUAAGUCCAGCCCCACAUCCAUCUUCAGCUCCAGCCAUGGUUCAUCCCACCCCUCUGUAUCAGGUUCCAGCACAGGCCGCAGCCCCCUCAUCUCAGCUGGUUACGGGUCCGACACCCCCAUUUAUGUCCCCUUCUGUUGUUUUUGAAAAAAUGGAAAGAUUCAAUAAGUUGCACAACUAUUAUCUAAGCAACUGCCCUAAAGUGACCUAUGAGGCCAAGCGUCGCCAAAGGUCAAGAAAUCCCAAUAGCUUCCGCGAAAAGUACAAGAGGAUGAUGGAAGUAACAUAGGGGACAACAACUCAUAUUCUGCAAGUCCUUCAAAUUCCAGAAACAUUAUGGACAUGAUGUGAAAGGAAGCAGCACAAGAUGUGGGUUAAAAAGAAAGAGGUGCAGUGAAGCUGGAGACCAGACUGAGACCAGACAGGACAAUGACCAACAGACUGGACACAGGGAUACAGAAAGGGCUGCUAAGACAAGCAGACAGAUGACUGCUGUGACAGGAAGCUUUACUGAACAGCAGUAAUGUAUUGCUGUUCCAUCGCAGACAAAAUGGAACUGGAACCAGGAGUACCUGGACCUCAUCAGAGACAUGUUCCAGCCUGAUCAGACAGCACUCCCUGCAGUAACAGGGAGUGACUUCUUCGAGGGAUGGAACCUGGACACGUACCAGGACCCAAACAACAGCUGCUGGGAGAACUCUGGGCACAACCAAGCAGCUCAGACUUCCAGUGCAUGGGAUGUCCAGCCUGUUUCCCAAUUCCCUGGACACAUCCCCAUCUCCCAGGUCGAAGGGAGACAGGAAUUUUUGGUGGAUUCUACCAUCCAGGUCGAGCAGGAGACCUUAGUGAAUGCACUGGAUCCCGAAGAGUCCAUCUUGGAGAAGAUCCUGGAAGACCUGUUCAGAAACUGUAAUUAGGUACAUUCAUAUGUAACCCCAACCAAGGGGGGCACUAGGGAUGCCUCACCAUAGCUCUGAACAUUCACUGAAAUGAACAAUGAAAUAAAGGAAACUGUGUACAAAAAAUAACACUUCAAUAAAAUAUUAACAAAAAACGUAA
Paramormyrops kingsleyae is the source of this 1247-nucleotide non-coding RNA. The record is from RefSeq and is a predicted model, not a curated record. NCBI's taxonomy places the organism in Eukaryota, Metazoa, Chordata, Actinopteri, Osteoglossiformes, Mormyridae.